GUGCUCUCUUCGGCAGCACAUGUACCAAAAUUGGAACGAUAUGGAGAAGAUUAGCACGGCCCCUGUGCAAGGAUGACAUGCAAAUUAUUGAAGUGUUCCACUAAAAA
RNAcentral lists this small nuclear RNA (107 nucleotides) under Microcebus murinus (gray mouse lemur). The record is from RNAcentral. Lineage: Eukaryota; Metazoa; Chordata; Mammalia; Primates; Cheirogaleidae.